CAGUCGACGCUUCUUUCCUCCCGAGUGCUUGCACUCAAUUGGAAAGAGGAGUGGCGGACGGGUGAGUAACACGUGGGUAACCUACCCAUCAGAGGGGGAUAACACUUGGAAACAGGUGCUAAUACCGCAUAACAGUUUAUGCCGCAUGGCAUAAGAGUGAAAGGCGCUUUCGGGUGUCGCUGAUGGAUGGACCCGCGGUGCAUUAGCUAGUUGGUGAGGUAACGGCUCACCAAGGCCACGAUGCAUAGCCGACCUGAGAGGGUGAUCGGCCACACUGGGACUGAGACACGGCCCAGACUCCUACGGGAGGCAGCAGUAGGGAAUCUUCGGCAAUGGACGAAAGUCUGACCGAGCAACGCCGCGUGAGUGAAGAAGGUUUUCGGAUCGUAAAACUCUGUUGUUAGAGAAGAACAAGGACGUUAGUAACUGAACGUCCCCUGACGGUAUCUAACCAGAAAGCCACGGCUAACUACGUGCCAGCAGCCGCGGUAAUACGUAGGUGGCAAGCGUUGUCCGGAUUUAUUGGGCGUAAAGCGAGCGCAGGCGGUUUCUUAAGUCUGAUGUGAAAGCCCCCGGCUCAACCGGGGAGGGUCAUUGGAAACUGGGAGACUUGAGUGCAGAAGAGGAGAGUGGAAUUCCAUGUGUAGCGGUGAAAUGCGUAGAUAUAUGGAGGAACACCAGUGGCGAAGGCGGCUCUCUGGUCUGUAACUGACGCUGAGGCUCGAAAGCGUGGGGGAGCAACAGGAUUAGAUACCCUGGUAGUCCACGCC
RNAcentral lists this ribosomal RNA (770 nucleotides) under uncultured bacterium. RNAcentral describes it as "bacterial SSU rRNA". It matches the Rfam family "Bacterial small subunit ribosomal RNA", at positions 59 to 801 of the family's 1533-position model. The record is from RNAcentral.